AUGGGAACACAAACACAGAAUGCCAUGGGAACACAAACACAGAAGCAAAACACCCAAUCUCAGAAGGAUGGUGGCCGCGUGAUGGUUAAGUCUACAGACUGCAGAUUCACAAGCCCCAGGUUCAGACCCUCACUUAGCCACUUACUAAGUACUGGGGAGGGGUUACCUAGCCCCUCCCACUGCCUCAUUUUUCUCAUCUGCAGAAUGGGGAUAAUGAAAGCCCAACCUUUAGACUUGAGGUUGUCAUACUUCAGUGUUAAUAAGCAUCGUCUGGAGAGCUUGUGACAACAGAAGGUGGAGUUCCCUUCGUGGCUCAGUGGUUAAUGAACCCAACUAGCAUCCAUGAGGACGCGGGUUCAAUCCCCAGCCUUGCUCAGUGGGUUAAGGAUCCAGCGUUGCCAUGAGCUGUGGUGUAGGCCGCAGACACAGCUCAGAUCCCCAAGUUGCUGUAGCUGUGGUGUAGGCUGGCGGCUACAGCUCCAGUUCGAUCCCUAGCCUGGGAACCUCCAUAUGCCAUAGUCACAGCCCUAAAAAGACAAAAGACAAAAACAAAAAAACCCAAAAAGACAGAAAGCUGCACCCCUGCCCCAAAGAUUCUGAUCUCAUAGUCCUGAGUAGGACCUAAGGAUUUGCAUCCAUAAUAAGUCCCACAAUUAGAGUGACAUUUGUCUAGAAGGCGGCUCCUAAAACAUGAAUGUCCAUUCCCAACACCUGGAGAGCUCAUUAAACCAUGGGUGCUGGUUCAGUAGGUCUGGGGUCUGAGACUCUGCAUUCUUAACUCUCGUCCAGCUGAGGCUGAUGGAGCUGGCCAAUCACCCAUGUUUGGAGGCUGCCGUAUCUGAAACACAGCAGAUGAGCAAAUACAUUAUCUGUUACAUAUAUUUUUUAAUAGCUCAUGUCGCAUCCUCUGUAUUAUAAAGUGACAGUGAUAUUAAACAGCCAAUGGGUAGGGUUUGAAACAUCCUCGUUUGUUCAGUGAUAAAGUUGAAGACACUGCGUCAAAUGCAAUGGAGAGGUUAUACUGAUUUGCAGAAACCAAAAGCUUCCAAACCAAGGAUCCGGAAUCUCCUCAAAGGCACCUGUAGAUGUAGAGAAUUCUCAAAAGAGCUUGUUUCAGACUAGAAUUCCAAAACCUGUGAUGAAGUAAGAACUAGCUACAGGGAAACAAGGUUUUGCAGAGGAUCUGAAGGGAAUUAACAGUCCUUUUAAAGAGCCUUUGCCCUUGCAAAAAAAAAUUUUUUUUUUUUUUUUUUUUUGCUUUUUAGAGCCACACCCACAGCAUAGGGAGGUUCCAAGGCUAGGGGUCUAAUUGGAGCUGCAGCUGCUGGCCUACCCCACAGCCACAGCAAUGCAGGAUUCGAGCCACGUCUGCGACCUAGGCCACAGCUCAUGGCAAUGCCGGAUCCUUAACCUACUGAGCGAGACCAGGGAUCAAACCGGUAGCCUCACGGUUCCCAGUCGGAUUCAUUUCUGCAGCACCACAAUGGGAAUUCCUGAAAUACAUUUUAAAUAAAGAAAACGUUACAAUGGCUACA
Molecule: long non-coding RNA, 1535 nt
Filed under: Sus scrofa (pig)
Lineage: Eukaryota; Metazoa; Chordata; Mammalia; Artiodactyla; Suidae
Description: lncRNA (ENSSSCG00015058285.1)
Source: RNAcentral